RNAcentral lists this ribosomal RNA (431 nucleotides) under Emiliania huxleyi. RNAcentral's name for it is "SSU rRNA". It matches the Rfam family "Eukaryotic small subunit ribosomal RNA", at positions 626 to 1062 of the family's 1831-position model. The record is from RNAcentral. Lineage: Eukaryota; Haptophyta; Isochrysidales; Noelaerhabdaceae.
GCUCGUAGUCGGAUUUCGGGGCGGGCCGACCGGUCUGCCGAUGGGUAUGCACUGGCCGGCGCGUCCUUCCACCCGGAGACCGCGCCUACUCUUAACUGAGCGGGCGCGGGAGACGGGUCUUUUACUUUGAAAAAAUCAGAGUGUUUCAAGCAGGCAGUCGCUCUUGCAUGGAUUAGCAUGGGAUAAUGAAAUAGGACUCUGGUGCUAUUUUGUUGGUUUCCAACACCGGAGUAAUGAUUAACAGGGACAGUCAGGGGCACUCGUAUUCCGCCGAGAGAGGUGAAAUUCUCAGACCAACGGAAGACGAACCACUGCGAAAGCAUUUGCCAGGGAUGUUUUCACUGAUCAAGAACGAAAGUUAGGGGAUCGAAGACGAUCAGAUACCGUCGUAGUCUUAACCAUAAACCAUGCCGACUAGGGAUUGGAGGAUG